Molecule: unclassified non-coding RNA, 509 nt
Filed under: Hevea brasiliensis (rubber tree)
Lineage: Eukaryota; Viridiplantae; Streptophyta; Magnoliopsida; Malpighiales; Euphorbiaceae
Source: RNAcentral
AGUUUUUUAACUUGGUGAAGGAGGCUUAAGUGACUAGUCUUAUAUAGAUCUGUGAAACUUUUGUUCCCUUUUUCUUAGCUGCAACUAAGUGAAGCGUUUUACUUUUAACAAAUGAAAGUAUGUGCUGUGGAUCGGAGCGGUUGAAGCCCACACCGUCUCCAACACUUCCUGUGAUUUCUUUUGAAGACAGUAGACCAACCAACGUAGACAUGAAUCAUUUAACCGUUGAGACUGAAGAUACUUUUGCAAGCUUGCUUGAGCUUGCAGCUAAUAAUGACACUGAGGGCUUUAAGAGAUCAAUUGAAUGUGAUCCUUUGUGUGUUGAUGAGACUGGACUUUGGUAUAGUCGUCAGAAAGGCCCCAAGCAGAUGGUUAACCAAUAUAGAACCCCAUUGAUGGUCGCUGCAACUUAUGGUAGCCUUGACAUUAUAAGGCUGAUUCUGUCUCUAUCAGAUGCUGAUGUCAAUCGGACUUGUGGUUUAGAUAAGAGCACUGCCCUUCAUUGUGCU